AAGCAAUGUUUGUGGAGUUUUCGCCUCCCCGGAGAGGCCCAGAAAAUUGACCGGAUGAUGGAGGCCUUUGCCCAGCGAUACUGCCUGUGCAACCCUGGGGUUUUCCAGUCCACAGACACGUGCUAUGUGCUGUCCUUCGGUGUAAUCAUUGUGAACACCAGCCUUCACAAUCCUAACGUCCAGGACAAGCCAGGCUUGGAGCGCUUUGUGGCCAUGAACCGGGGCAUCAAUGAGGGUGGGGACCUGCCUGAGGAGCUGCUCAGGAACCUCUACAACAGCAUCUGAAACGAACCCUUCAACAUUCCUGAGGAUGAUGGGAAUGAUCUGACCUAUACCUUCUUCAACCUGGACUGGGAGGGCUGGCUUCUAAAGCUGGAGGGCCGGGUGAAAACCUGGAAGCAGCGCUGGUUUAUCCUCACAGACAACUGCCUCUACUACUUUGAGUAAACCACGGACAAGGAGCCCCGAAUUAUCCCCCUGGAGAAUCUGAGCAUCCAAGAGGUGGAUGACCUGAGGAAGCCGAACUGCUUUGAGCUUUACAUCCCCAACAACAAGGGGCAGCUCAUCAAAGCCUGCAAAACAGAGGCAGAUGGCUGGGUGGUUGAAGGGAACCACAUGGUGAUUUGGAUCUCGGCCCCCAUGCAGGAGGAAAAGGAUGAGUGGAUCAGGUCCAUCCAGGCAGCUGUGAGUGUAGACCCCUUCUAUGAGAUGUUGGCAGCCAGAGAGAAGCAGAUUUCUGUCAAGAAGAAGCAGGAACAGCCCUGACCCCCUGUCCCCAACUCCAUUAUUUAUUACGGAGCUGCCCUGCCUGGGUGGCCGGACCCUUGGGCCUUGGGGCUGUGGAUCAUGUUUCCCAGUUUGGAAAGAUCACCAUCUCUAGCUCCCCUCUCAUUAUUUGUAAUUAACAUGCUGUUGGUAA
Nycticebus coucang (slow loris) is the source of this 919-nucleotide RNA transcript. It is a transcript of the gene named cytohesin-2-like, with no coding region annotated. Lineage: Eukaryota; Metazoa; Chordata; Mammalia; Primates; Lorisidae. The record is from RefSeq and is a predicted model, not a curated record. The transcript has a single exon.